UCCCAGAGCUUAACUCUGGAACUGCCAUCAAAACUUUUUAGCUAGAGUUGAUAGAGGAAAGCAGAAUUUCUAGUGUAGAGGUGAAAUUCGUAGAUAUUAGAAAGAAUACCAAUUGCGAAGGCAGCUUUCUGGAUCAUUACUGACACUGAGGAACGAAAGCAUGGGUAGCGAAGAGGAUUAGAUACCCUCGUAGUCCAUGCCGUAAACGAUGUGUGUUAGACGUUGGAAAUUUAUUUUCAGUGUCGCAGCGAAAGCAAUAAACACACCGCCUGGGGAGUACGACCGCAAGGUUAAAACUCAAAUGAAUUGACGGGGACCCGCACAAGUAGUGGAGCAUGUGGUUUAAUUCGAAGAUACGCGCAGAACCUUACCAACACUUGACAUGUUCGUCGCGACUUUAAGAGAUUAAAGUUUUCGGUUCGGCCGGACGAAACACAGGUGCUGCAUGGCUGUCGUCAGCUCGUGUCGUGAGAUGUUGGGUUAAGUCCCGCAACGAGCGCAACCCUCACUUUUAGUUGCCAUCAUUUAGUUGGGCACUCUGAAAGAACUGCCAGUGAUAAGCUGGAGGAAGGUGGGGAUGACGUCAAGUCCUCAUGGCCCUUACGUGUUGGGCUACACACGUGCUACAAUGGCAUUUACAACAGGACGCAAAACGGCGACGUUAAGCAAAUCCUAAAAAAAUGCCUCAGUUCGGAUUGUACUCUGCAACUCGAGUACAUGAAGCUGGAAUUACUAGUAAUCGCGGAUCAGCGCGCCGCGGUGAAUACGUUCCCGGGUCUUGUACACACCGCCCGUCACACCAUGGGAGUUGGUUCUACCUUAAGGCAAAGGUUAAAAACUUUGACCACGGUAUAGUCAGCGACUGGGGUGAAGUCGUAACAAGGUAACCGUA
Molecule: ribosomal RNA, 892 nt
Filed under: uncultured bacterium
Lineage: Bacteria
Description: bacterial SSU rRNA
Rfam family: Bacterial small subunit ribosomal RNA
Source: RNAcentral